GAUGAACGCUAGCUACAGGCUUAACACAUGCAAGUCGAGGGGAAACGAUAUUGGAAGCUUGCUUCCGAUAGGCGUCGACCGGCGCACGGGUGAGUAACGCGUAUCCAACCUGCCCAUCACUUGGGGAUAACCUUGCGAAAGUAAGACUAAUACCCAAUGAUAUCUCAAGAAGACAUCUGAAUGAGAUUAAAGAUUUAUCGGUGAUGGAUGGGGAUGCGUCGGAUUAGCUUGUUGGCGGGGUAACGGCCCACGAAGGCGACGAUCAGUAGGGGUUCUGAGAGGAAGGUCCCCCACAUUGGAACUGAGACACGGUCCAAACUCCUACGGGAGGCAGCAGUGAGGAAUAUUGGUCAAUGGGCGAGAGCCUGAACCAGCCAAGUAGCGUGCAGGAUGACGGCCCUAUGGGUUGUAAACUGCUUUUAUAAGGGAAUAAAGUGAGCCUCGUGAGGCUUUUUGCAUGUACCUUAUGAAUAAGGACCGGCUAAUUCCGUGCCAGCCGCCGCCGUAA
This 508-nucleotide ribosomal RNA is filed under the name uncultured bacterium. RNAcentral's name for it is "partial 16S ribosomal RNA". It matches the Rfam family "Bacterial small subunit ribosomal RNA", at positions 28 to 523 of the family's 1533-position model. The record is from RNAcentral.